RNAcentral lists this ribosomal RNA (2652 nucleotides) under Campylobacter jejuni. RNAcentral describes it as "partial 23S ribosomal RNA". It matches the Rfam family "Bacterial large subunit ribosomal RNA", at positions 437 to 2925 of the family's 2925-position model. Lineage: Bacteria; Pseudomonadati; Campylobacterota; Epsilonproteobacteria; Campylobacterales; Campylobacteraceae. The record is from RNAcentral.
UCUGAAUCCGGGUCGACCACGAUCCAACCCUAAAUACUAAUACCAGAUCGAUAGUGCACAAGUACCGUGAGGGAAAGGUGAAAAGAACUGAGGUGAUCAGAGUGAAAUAGAACCUGAAACCAUUUGCUUACAAUCAUUCAGAGCACUAUGUAGCAAUACAGUGUGAUGGACUGCCUUUUGCAUAAUGAGCCUGCGAGUUGUGGUGUCUGGCAAGGUUAAGCAAACGCGAAGCCGUAGCGAAAGCGAGUCUGAAUAGGGCGCUUAGUCAGAUGCUGCAGACCCGAAACGAAGUGAUCUAUCCAUGAGCAAGUUGAAGCUAGUGUAAGAACUAGUGGAGGACUGAACCCAUAGGCGUUGAAAAGCCCCGGGAUGACUUGUGGAUAGGGGUGAAAGGCCAAUCAAACUUCGUGAUAGCUGGUUCUCUCCGAAAUAUAUUUAGGUAUAGCGUUGUGUCGUAAUAUAAGGGGGUAGAGCACUGAAUGGGCUAGGGCAUACACCAAUGUACCAAACCCUAUCAAACUCCGAAUACCUUAUAUGUAAUCACAGCAGUCAGGCGGCGAGUGAUAAAAUCCGUCGUCAAGAGGGAAACAACCCAGACUACCAGCUAAGGUCCCUAAAUCUUACUUAAGUGGAAAACGAUGUGAAGUUACUUAAACAACCAGGAGGUUGGCUUAGAAGCAGCCAUCCUUUAAAGAAAGCGUAAUAGCUCACUGGUCUAGUGAUUUUGCGCGGAAAAUAUAACGGGGCUAAAGUAAGUACCGAAGCUGUAGACUUGCACACAACUUAGAUUAUUUAAGUUUAGAAUAUGAGAAACUAAGUUAUAUGUUUAGUUAUAUUUUUACUGAUUUUUAUAGAGUAAAGAUAGAAAUAAAACUUAGUAAAAUCAGUAAAAAUAUUCUUAGGCUAAAGUUAAGUAGUUUAAGUUGUGUGCAAGUGGUAGGAGAGCGUUCUAUUUGCGUCGAAGGUAUACCGGUAAGGAGUGCUGGAGCGAAUAGAAGUGAGCAUGCAGGCAUGAGUAGCGAUAAUUAAUGUGAGAAUCAUUAACGCCGUAAACCCAAGGUUUCCUACGCGAUGCUCGUCAUCGUAGGGUUAGUCGGGUCCUAAGUCGAGUCCGAAAGGGGUAGACGAUGGCAAAUUGGUUAAUAUUCCAAUACCAACAUUAGUGUGCGAUGGAAGGACGCUUAGGGCUAAGGGGGCUAGCGGAUGGAAGUGCUAGUCUAAGGUUGUAGGAGGUUAUACAGGCAAAUCCGUAUAACAAUACUCCGAGAACUGAAAGGCUUUUUGAAGUCUUCGGAUGGAUAGAAGAACCCCUGAUGCCGUCGAGCCAAGAAAAGUUUCUAAGUUUAGCUAAUGUUGCCCGUACCGUAAACCGACACAGGUGGGUGGGAUGAGUAUUCUAAGGCGCGUGGAAGAACUCUCUUUAAGGAACUCUGCAAAAUAGCACCGUAUCUUCGGUAUAAGGUGUGGUUAGCUUCGUACUAGGAUUUACUCCGAAAGCGAAGAAACUUACAACAAAGAGUCCCUCCCGACUGUUUACCAAAAACACAGCACUCUGCUAACUCGUAAGAGGAUGUAUAGGGUGUGACGCCUGCCCGGUGCUCGAAGGUUAAUUGAUGGGGUUAGCAUUAGCGAAGCUCUUGAUCGAAGCCCGAGUAAACGGCGGCCGUAACUAUAACGGUCCUAAGGUAGCGAAAUUCCUUGUCGGUUAAAUACCGACCUGCAUGAAUGGCGUAACGAGAUGGGAGCUGUCUCAAAGAGGGAUCCAGUGAAAUUGUAGUGGAGGUGAAAAUUCCUCCUACCCGCGGCAAGACGGAAAGACCCCGUGGACCUUUACUACAGCUUGACACUGCUACUUGGAUAAGAAUGUGCAGGAUAGGUGGGAGGCUUUGAGUAUAUGACGCCAGUUGUAUAUGAGCCAUUGUUGAGAUACCACUCUUUCUUAUUUGGGUAGCUAACCAGCUUGAGUUAUCCUCAAGUGGGACAAUGUCUGGUGGGUAGUUUGACUGGGGCGGUCGCCUCCCAAAUAAUAACGGAGGCUUACAAAGGUUGGCUCAGAACGGUUGGAAAUCGUUCGUAGAGUAUAAAGGUAUAAGCCAGCUUAACUGCAAGACAUACAAGUCAAGCAGAGACGAAAGUCGGUCUUAGUGAUCCGGUGGUUCUGUGUGGAAGGGCCAUCGCUCAAAGGAUAAAAGGUACCCCGGGGAUAACAGGCUGAUCUCCCCCAAGAGCUCACAUCGACGGGGAGGUUUGGCACCUCGAUGUCGGCUCAUCGCAUCCUGGGGCUGGAGCAGGUCCCAAGGGUAUGGCUGUUCGCCAUUUAAAGCGGUACGCGAGCUGGGUUCAGAACGUCGUGAGACAGUUCGGUCCCUAUCUGCCGUGGGCGUAAGAAGAUUGAAGAGAUUUGACCCUAGUACGAGAGGACCGGGUUGAACAAACCACUGGUGUAGCUGUUGUUCUGCCAAGAGCAUCGCAGCGUAGCUAAGUUUGGAAAGGAUAAACGCUGAAAGCAUCUAAGCGUGAAGCCAACUCUAAGAUGAAUCUUCUCUAAGCUCUCUAGAAGACUACUAGUUUGAUAGGCUGGGUGUGUAAUGGAUGAAAGUCCUUUAGCUGACCAGUACUAAUAGAGCGUUUGGCUUAUCUUUAAUAAAGCAU